Frieseomelitta varia is the source of this 924-nucleotide long non-coding RNA. RefSeq lists it as uncharacterized. The transcript has 4 exons. The record is from RefSeq and is a predicted model, not a curated record. NCBI's taxonomy places the organism in Eukaryota, Metazoa, Arthropoda, Insecta, Hymenoptera, Apidae.
UCACUUAACAAAAUCACAGCACUUUUAAAAGGCUUUUUUAUCGAUUUCAAACAGAACUCAAAGGAACUUAUUAGUAACCAAAUAAAAACGCAUUGGAAACAUAAAGGAAAUAUGCAAUGCCGCUACUAAAUUUACUCCAAAGAUGUUAAAUAGCGGCAAACGAUAUACUUACCGAUACUACUGCCAUCAAUGUUCUCUAUUUGUAUUGGACUGUCUUUGUUGCUGUCGACUCCGCUGCUCGGUGUUGGAGAUGGACAACGUGGCGACGGUGGUUCGCUAUCGACUAUUACAAUGCUAUCCAAAGACUUAGCACGUCUGUUCGGUAACAUUUUUCGACCAGUUGCCGACGAUGAAGUAAUACCAUUUGACAGUAGCCGCGCCAUAUCUUGCUCUAUCGAUAGGGGGAGUACUGCGCGUGUGGAAAUUUGUUUACACUUAAUACACAAAUAAGCCACAACCACUAUGAGAAUUAUUUAAUACCAGAUAUCAAUUCCGUAUAACUCCUUAUCGUUUAAAAUUAGAAGAAAGCACGAAUGAGAAAGGAUACUGCAAAUGAGAAAUGUAACAAAGGAAUAAAAAAAAUGAUGUAUGAAGUGAGACGAGUGUCUGGCCAACGCCAAACUAGUUAUUUUUAAACCAGUGUCAGGCGACAAAGCAAAAAAACACGGUGUUAUUAUCUUGAUCAACGCUCCCUUUGCGCGGUGGUUGAACACUUCCCGUGGAAGCAGCUCGGCUUCCAACACCACGACGCUUUUUAGUUUUUUGUUCACUCAAUCUGUCCAAUGCCCAUUCUCGAAUUAGCUCUUCCCACUGUGUUAAGGAUGUCAAUACUUCUAGAAACUGAUCCCAUAAUUGCGUAGAAAUAACAACAUUUAAAUUGGCUUUAAUCCACGUAACGAUCAAAGUUUGAAAUAUGGCAGGGGC